Molecule: transfer RNA, 71 nt
Filed under: Faecalibacterium sp. CAG:1138
Lineage: Bacteria; Bacillati; Bacillota; Clostridia; Eubacteriales; Oscillospiraceae
Rfam family: tRNA
About the family: Transfer RNA (tRNA) molecules are approximately 80 nucleotides in length. Their secondary structure includes four short double-helical elements and three loops (D, anti-codon, and T loops).
Source: Rfam by way of RNAcentral
UGGGGUAUGGUGUAAAGGUAGCACAAAGGCCUCUGACUCCUUCGGUGUUGGUUCGAUUCCGACUAUCCCUG